Heterocephalus glaber (naked mole-rat) is the source of this 3436-nucleotide long non-coding RNA. RefSeq lists it as uncharacterized. Lineage: Eukaryota; Metazoa; Chordata; Mammalia; Rodentia; Bathyergidae. The record is from RefSeq and is a predicted model, not a curated record.
GCGCCGAGUAAAUCGAUGACUCCUCACCUGACAGCCGCAGCUCAAACUCUCUCUGCGCGUGCGCUUACUGGUGGGCUGGAGGAAGUGGCAGAGCGAGGGCGGGGGGAAGUGGCUGGAAAGGCAACUAGCGAAGGAAAGGAAGAACCAUGUGCUGAAACAGUUCCUCACUUUGAUGUUGUGGGGAGGUGGCCUCCAGUUUGAUACCAUCUUUAGGACAGUCAGUGUCCUUCCAGCCAAGUCUCCUCUGACUCCUGGGAUUCAGGUUGCUCUCCUCCAGCAAUCUGAGGCUCUAUUUGAAUCUCAAGCAGUCCAGUUUGAGGCCCCGGAGAAAGAGAAUUGGUGUCAGUGCCCGAUUCUCUCACCAGGUUACCAUCUGACAGUAUUACAUAGAUGGAUCUGGCCAAGAGUUCAUAACUGUUAGAAGAGGAUGAGAUACUGUACAUCCAUGCAGCAAUACUUCAGCUGCAGAGGAAAACACCAUGGGAACUGCAGAGACUGAAGAGAGACCACAUCCUGUUCCAUGAACGACUAAGUUAUGGUUCUUGCACUUUACACUGUGAGAAGGAAGUCACCCACUGCCAACUCAGUGGCGGUGGUCUGCAUGCUACAUGCUGCUCUCUGGGUUCUAAAAAGAGCCAGUGCAUUUUCCUGUCCUUGGGUAGUCACCCUGGGCUGUCUGAUAAUCUGUCAAUGGUCCUCCUGUGGUAGGAGGCCAGGGCAAGGCAAGGUGGCUGGAGCAGUGGGUGUAUGUUGCUUUUUGAGAAGACUUAAUAACCAUGGGCACAGAGCUUCAGCGCCCAAGCCUGACACAGGAUCAAGCUGAGCCCUGUACCUGGUACCAGUCUUCUGACAUGAGAACAGGCUGAACCUGGAACCUGAUAUCAAUCUUGUAGCAGGAGAUCAAAUUUGACUACCUGGAUCAACUAUCAAAGAAAACAUAAAACAACAGUAGCAAUCGACAUUUGGAGCCAUUGCCCUCUUGUUCUUGCAGUGGUCCAUUCUGCUUGCAGGACUCAUCUUCUUUCUUUUUUUCAAAGCACCCUUUUCUCCUGUAGCACUUCCUUUGUGCUUCUUCUUUUUCUUUUCAUUUUCUUAUUUCAACCCUAACAUAAGCAUAAUCUUUCACAUCUACCAAUUGUCCUGAACAAUUCAUUGAUCAGGACAAAUAACCUAGAAAACAGUGCUGGUCCCUACCGCAUCUGGUAACACACUGUGGGGUUCUGAAUGAUUUAGAGAAACCAGUAAUUGAAACUGGGGCUGGAAGGGAAUGAAGGGAGAGAAGAGCUUAUCAGAUCUUGUGAGAAGCUAUAGUUGUAGAGAACUAUAUAGUCUUAAGAAGCCUUACAGCAUACAAACUCGUCACUGGUACUGUAAAACAACUAGCAUUCCCCUAUAACCAGAUUCUGUAUAGUCUCUGACCUCUAGCUGGUCAAACCCAGCCAAAAACUCACAUUUUAAAACAUGAUAGAAGAGGAAAUGUGUUUCCCUGAAGUUCUAUUCAGUUUACUUCCGUUAGGUAACGUGAUUUACAUUCCUAUGAAACAAGUAUUUUUUUAUCGAACUAAACUGAGAGCAUAGCUGUAACUAUUGUAUCCAAGCCUUAUUUAUCUCCUGAUGAUACAAUUUGCUUAUUUUAGGGGCAACAGAAAAAUUACUGCAAGCACUUGGGAAUAAAACUGUGUCAAGACGUCUACAUUAUAUGGAUGAUAACUGAGGUGUCUCUUAGUGCUUCCGAAUACACAUAUAUUUUCCUAUCUUAUCUACAUGUGUUUUAUGUUCCUCAAUAAAUGCUUUCAAUAUCUUGCUGCAAUAGUUUUGAGAGGGAGUCAUGUAUAAAUGAAAACACAUCAUAAAACCAUGGUGGACAUAUUUUGUCUAAUUUAUGUUAGAACCACAAAAUGUAUGGCAAUUUGUUUGUAUUUCUUUCUCUCCCCGGGUGGUGAUUACAUUAAGAAAUUUAUGUAGAGUGAAAUUAUUUUAACUAUAAGCAUUAAAUAAUUCUAAGCAUUAUUGUUGAACUCCAAAUCAGGUUGGCAUUUUCUCAGGUGGUAGGAAUUAUGUUGCUUAGCCUUCCUAAAAAGCAGCCCUCUCACCCCCAAUCAGGAAGGAAAUAAUUUUGUGCAGUAAUUUCCUUUUAUUUACUUUAGCCUACUUUAUUCUUUGUGAACAUAUUUAUUUCAGAGACAAAAAAUAAUUCAGAAAUUACUAUUACCUCUGAGGCAUACUACUGUGUAAAUGUUAAUAGUAAAGUGUCAUUAGUGUACACCAAUAUCAUACCCUCAGGUUUGGUAGAAUCUGAGAUAGACUAUGAUUAUGUAUGCAAUCCAUAAAGUUUGGAAGAAGUUUGCCUUUGAAAGCCUGAUAACUGAGCCAAAGAAGUGUGAAAGAAAACCAGAAUUUCAUACAGCUCAGUAUUGUGAGACGUGUAAGUUCUGCUCAAUAUAACAUUGUCCUCUCUGGAAAUCAGCUAAAAUAACAUCACACACCUGCCAUUCCCCUAGGAGACUAGAAAAAUAAGAUCCCAGUCCCAGGAGACCCACCUAACAGGCAAAAUGUUAUGCAGAUGAAAUUCUUAAGUACAGCAGGUUUUGCUUCUAUAAUUCACCACUGUAAAUUCUUUUUAAGCUUUAAUCUCUAGGAUAUUUGAAAAUUCAAAUUUAAAAAAGAAAACUUUCUAAGACUAUUGGGUCCCCUUUGUGUAAUUUCAAGCAUAACAUCACUGACAUCAUGGGCGUAUCCCAGAAGUCCUAAUCCAGUGCUUCUCAGAUGUAAAUGUACAUUCAGUUCAUCUGGAAAUUUUGUUAAAAUUUUGACUUCUUGGGCCUAGGAUGAGACCUGAGAAGCUGCAUUUAUAACAAGUUGUCAGGUAAUGCUGAUGCUGCAGGCCCUUCACAUUUUUGGUACCAAGACCCUCAGCAUUUCCAGGCAGAAAGAAGGAUCAUAAAUUUGAGGCCAGCAUGGGCGAUUUAGCAAGAUCCUAGGGGUGGAGAUGUAGUUCAGUGGUAGAACACUUGCCUAGCAUGUGCAAGAUCCUAAGUUCAAUUCGCAGUAACUUCAAAAAAUAUUUGAAUAUAGGGUAGAUUAUCUCAGUAUUGCAUAAUUAGCCAUACAGCCAAAGAGAUACUGUAAGAUUCUGAAUAGUUAUCUUAGCCAAUUUUCUGUUACUAAAACAAAAUUCCUGAGAUCAAGUCUUUUAUAAAGAAGAGAAACAUAUUUGGCUCACUGUUCUGGAGCCUGGUAGCUCCAGGAACACGGCAUAGGUAUCUGUCCACAUGUGGUAUCUUCUUGCUACAUCACAACAGGACAGAAAGAAACAGCUGGUGAGCCAGAGCUAGUGAACCAGAGAGAGCUCACCUUUACAACAGAGCCACUGUCAUGAUAACCCAUUAAUCCAUUGAUCCAUAGAUUGAUCCAUAACCUCUAAAUCAUGGUCUUU